RNAcentral lists this small nuclear RNA (22 nucleotides) under Arabidopsis thaliana (thale cress). RNAcentral's name for it is "snRNA_07571". Lineage: Eukaryota; Viridiplantae; Streptophyta; Magnoliopsida; Brassicales; Brassicaceae. The record is from RNAcentral.
UGAUCUUCUGAGAAGGGUUCGA